GUGCACUCACGUCAAUGACCCAUAUAAUAAAACUGGAACACUAUAGAGAAGAUGAGCAUGGCCCCUGCUCAAGAAUGUCACACAAAUCCGUGAAGCGUUCUAUAUUGUG
Molecule: small nuclear RNA, 109 nt
Organism: Hemicordylus capensis (graceful crag lizard)
Lineage: Eukaryota; Metazoa; Chordata; Lepidosauria; Squamata; Cordylidae
Source: RefSeq, a predicted model, not a curated record